CCAGCUCCUGUCCCUGCUCUUGUCCCUGUUCCUGCCCCAGCUUCUGCCCCAACUCCUGCCUCUGCUCCUCUCCCUGCCCCAGCUCCUGCCCCAGCCCGUCUGCCUCCUUCCCCAGCCCCUGUCCCUAUCUGACAGGACCCUGCUUGCUCCCUGCUGUCACUCAGCCCUUUCCCCUGUUUUCUGCCCCGUCCUCUGCCCCUGCCAGCCCCUCCCCCGUCUGCUCACCUGUCACUGCCCACGUCCCCUCGCCUGGCUCCCUAACUCCUCCUGACCCACUCCCGCCUGGCCAUGACCCUGUGUCCAUGUGACCCUUCCCAUCACGAGUUUACACCGGAAAAACCUGUCGGGCAGGGCUCAGAGGUCCCCGGUGCAGCUGCUUUAGCCCCAUGCUGCUUUCCAAGAAGCUUAAAACUGACCAGUUUUUCAGACCCAUUUUCAUAUUGAAGAGCUGUUAAGGAAACAACUGAGAGGAAUAUGCUACUGAAGGAGAGAGGAAGAAUAAAUUCAGCAACAUAAGAGAUGAAGAAGAUGGUGAAAUUGUGCCUGACAUUAUGAUUGAGCUCCAAAGAGGGCCUAACUCAGAACUGAGUAGAUAAUUUCCUUCCAUAGACUUCUCCUACAAGCAAAUAAAACCUGUCCCCACUGCAGAGAGAGCUAAGGACUGGUGGAAGAUGGGUGCAUGGUGAAACAGAAGGAGCAUUUCCACAAGCAUCAUGCGCGCUGCCGUCAGAGUGUCAGCCGUGGCUGCGGAUUCCCUGCCUUCGUUAUCUGUGAGAGGUUGUCCAGAGUUUGAAGCAUACAAGGUCUCAUCAUAAUGUUUAUAUGAGUACUUCUGCCCUUGGAUAUUAUUCUCAUCUUUACAAUACUAUGCAAAUCGACAGCUACUUCCCGGUGCUUCCAGCUAGGACUUCUGAAUAUAGUUGCGAUACUGUAGAAAAGGAAACAAAUAAACAAACAAACAAAAAAUAUCCCCUUGGUGCAAAGACUGGUCAAAGGCAAUACCUGGUCCUACAAGUCCACCACCAAAGAUGGUGUGAUUCCUGAUGCAACCUGGAAAAUUGACUACACUGCCUGUGUAGCUGUCCACAGUGAAAGGUUCUCAGCAUUGACUUCUACUCUGCAUCAAUAUUUACUGCUCCUUAGAGCAGAGUGGCUCAGAAUUAGCGACCAGAUUUUUAAUUAACAGCUGAUCUCAGUAUUGUGGGUGGUUCAAGCACCAGUCUGUUUCAGUUUUCUGGACAGAGCUGCCUGAGUUGUGCUGAACAUGCAGAUUUGUCCCGGUGUCCCCAGCCCACUGCUUGCUUUGAGAUGGCACACCUGGGCUCUUCCACUGGUUUAGGGUGUGCUCACAGCUGGGCAGUGAUUACCUCUCCUCUGAAAAUGGCUUAAAUCCCUUAGUGAUGGGGAGCUUUGCAGGGCCUUUAAAAUACGCAUUUACACAGCCAUAUUCAUUUCUCAGUAGCCUAAAAAAGAUUUUUCCAAAGUUAAACAUAAACAUUCAGCUUGCAGGUGAAACCCAUGGGACAUGCUCAGUUGCCUGGAAAAUCACUUUAAAAAUUAGCAUGUCUGCUCUGUAAUAUAUUAUGUGCGGUUUCUUUCUUGCCUUAGAAGGAAUGAAAGCAGUGACUAUAGGGCCCAGAUUUUAUUGUGCUGCACAAAAUUGCUUUCCAAAAGGGCCUGACUGGUAAAAAUAUAGGUUUCACCUUUGCAACACCUCUUUUUCUCAAGAGAAUUCUCCAAAAGAACCAGAUUUUCCUGCUGAGUCAGCCCAAGUGCCUGUGUUAAUGGCCUCUGGAGAGAAACACCUCAACACAUCCACAGAAUGAAAGUUCCAGCUGCAAAAGUCAGAAUUUCCACAUACAAUUUUCUUAUAUACUAACCAGUCUUCAUGUCAUGUUCAGAGUCCCAUGACACCUCAAGCCCUUAUAUUUUAUCUGUCACACUGUAGUUAUAAACCAGUGAGAAAUAUCCAAUGUCUUAUACAUUUUGGCUAAGGCAAAAAAAAUGCAAAUAUACUAAUUCAAAAUAUUUUGACAGUAUUUCAAAAUUAAGAAGAAACACCACAAAUUAACAGACCUGAACCGUGCUCUCUCCCAAAUUAAUAUUAAGGUCAUAGACAAGUCAUGUUCUUUGAUUGAGAAAGGGAAGAGGUUCCAUAAAAAUAUUACAGCAUGAUAAUUUUGAGAUGAUACAGAAAUAAUAGUGUUUAUUACCAAUGUUAUUUACAUACCUUACUGGCUCUAGGUUUAACUAAGCCUUCAUGCACAAUGCACUGAGAAAUGCAUUGUCCUUCACUGACACAAAAAGCUUGCAGUCUAACCAGACUGGAAAGAGACAAAAAGGCUUAUUCAUAUUAUGGCCAUUAUUCCACAUAGAGUGAACUGAGAAAAGUCAUGGAAUAGCUCCAGAACUGUGCAAAAAUUUUAUGGAUUGAGCACCAUCAUAUGAAGUCCCCGUUCAGCAUUUCAGCUUCUAUUUCAAUAAAAUAAAACUUCCCCACAAAUUGGGUUCUUGGCCCUCACCAUUAUGCUGCCAGCACAUACCAUUUCACAGGUAAAUGCCCUGGGUUCAGCAGGUCAGUGGCUGCAGUGGCAUUGGUGAGGAUAUCAUCUUUGCCAUAUGGACAAGGCCAGUCCCCUGCUGGACUGCCCUGAGGACUGUUCCUGGGCUCAUCUCAUACCAUCUCUGUGCUCCCCAACCAACUCUCUUCCCUCAGGGACUCUACACAAAUCUGUGCUCUUCCUCCUGAAGGGAUUAACUCCUGUUCCUAACUGACCAGAGAUAUUGGUCUGACGUCCCUGUGUCUUCAUCCUACAGCUAUGGUUACAGGAGCCCACGCACACAGGCCUGGGGGAAGGACUGAGAAGAGGUGCACAGAUAUCUUUGGGCUGAUCUGUGCUUCACACAGAGCACUGUUGUGUUUGACAUAUGUCUUAGGUGUGUAUGGAGUUAUAUCAGUGGAAACCUAUGGUUCAUUACCAAUCUGCUUUGGUCCUGGAGGAGGGAAAGUGGAAACAGGAGGGGGGAAAAAUACCCAGAUGGGAAAUGAACCUGUGCAUCUCUCCUGGGAAAAUGCAUUUCAGUCAUUCAAGCAACAGCCUAGCCUAUGGAAAAAAAUAUUGUACUUUCCAGCUGUUAUGCAAAAAGAAAAAAUAAAUUUGAAAUGGAAAAGUGAAUAAAUUGAGAAUAUUUUUAUCAUACUCUUUCUUGCAAAUUACUUACAACAUUCUUGUUUCUUAUGAGGAACCAUUUUUAGUAUGAAAGUAGUAAUACACUUUUCCAAAAAGUGCUUCCUGAAAAACCGAAACCAUUAUUAUCUUAAACUCCCACACAGUUUGUUUAAAAAUAUCUUUAAAUACUAUUAAAGAACAAUAAUUAUGUAGGUUUAUAUAAGUAGGAAGCAGAAACCAUCAAUGAAUCAUAUUAUUUCUCCUGCUGUAACAACACCACCAUCAACUACCACAAUAACAUAAAAGUUUAUGCCCACUGUAUACGUGUUUUGCAGGCAGUUUCCUGCCUUGAAAUCUGCAUAAUAGGUAAGCUGUGGUAAGUGUAAUAUGCUGUUUACUGCCAAUCCACUGUGGACAGCCAGGCAUGCUUGGCCUGGUGCAUUGCUCCUCCUUUGAGUGCAGCUUCUUGCUGAAGCGUAUGGCAGCCCUGAAGCAACAAAUAAAGCUUCUACAGAUUCUGGAAUCUGCUUCUGAAAGACGCUGUUGGAUAUACAGAGCUAUAUAUUCAAAUUAUUUUAUUCUCAUACACUGUAUUUUUUUUUCUUUUGGGUAAAAGCAGUGA
Molecule: long non-coding RNA, 3792 nt
Organism: Motacilla alba alba
Lineage: Eukaryota; Metazoa; Chordata; Aves; Passeriformes; Motacillidae
Exons: 7
Source: RefSeq, a predicted model, not a curated record